RNAcentral lists this ribosomal RNA (497 nucleotides) under uncultured bacterium. RNAcentral's name for it is "bacterial SSU rRNA". It matches the Rfam family "Bacterial small subunit ribosomal RNA", at positions 903 to 1397 of the family's 1533-position model. The record is from RNAcentral.
AAAUGAAUAGACGGGGGCCCGCACAAGCAGCGGAGCAUGUGGUUUAAUUCGAAGCAACGCGAAGAACCUUACCAGGGCUUGACAUGGCCAUGACGUGCCUAGAGAUAGGCAUUUCCGUUAAAAGACAUGGUCACAGGUGGUGCAUGGUUGUCGUCAGCUCGUGUCGUGAGAUGUUGGGUUAAGUCCCGCAACGAGCGCAACCCCUAUCACUAGUUGCUAGCAGGUAAAGCUGAGCACUCUAGCGAGACUGCCGGGGACAACUCGGAGGAAGGUGGGGAUGACGUCAAAUCAUCAUGCCCCUUAUGUCCUGGGCUACACACGUGCUACAAUGGCCGGAACAGAGGGCAGCUAAGGAGUAAUCCGGAGCGAAUCCCAAAAACCCGGUCUCAGUUCGGAUUGUGGGCUGCAACCCGCCCACAUGAAGUCGGAGUUGCUAGUAAUCGCAGAUCAGCCAUGCUGCGGUGAAUGCGUUCCCGGGCCUUGUACACACCGCCCGU